Molecule: transfer RNA, 74 nt
Filed under: Hemiphyllodactylus bintik (Spotted dwarf gecko)
Lineage: Eukaryota; Metazoa; Chordata; Lepidosauria; Squamata; Gekkonidae
Description: tRNA-Tyr
Source: RNAcentral
UGAUAGCAGGGACCCCUUGUAUCUUUCCCCUUGGCGAAUCUACAGUUCGCCGCCUAGCUCUCGGCCAUACUACC